CCCGCGUGUCUCGUAUCAUGGUCGGUGGUAAGUGCAGGAGGUAAUUAGAGCAGGAUCUUAAACUUGCAGCCAGCCGACUGAAUCGUUAAAAAACAGCCACAGAGAAAACUCACACCAACAGUAACACUUGAGAGACAAUUCAGAAACACAGUAUAUUUUAAAGGAAGGAUUACAGUCCUUGACGUCUGGAAAUUGUUGU
Microcebus murinus (gray mouse lemur) is the source of this 199-nucleotide unclassified non-coding RNA. NCBI's taxonomy places the organism in Eukaryota, Metazoa, Chordata, Mammalia, Primates, Cheirogaleidae. The record is from Ensembl.